Molecule: ribosomal RNA, 2828 nt
Filed under: Mesorhizobium sp.
Lineage: Bacteria; Pseudomonadati; Pseudomonadota; Alphaproteobacteria; Hyphomicrobiales; Phyllobacteriaceae
Also listed under: 1 other name
Description: 23S ribosomal RNA
Rfam family: Bacterial large subunit ribosomal RNA
Source: RNAcentral
GAUCAAGUGUCUUAAGGGCAAUUGGUGGAUGCCUUGGCAUGCACAGGCGAUGAAGGACGUGAUACGCUGCGAUAAGCUACGGGGAGGUGCGAAUACCCUUUGAUCCGUAGAUUUCCGAAUGGGGAAACCCACCUAAGGUACUUGGAAAAUCAGAGCAGCCGGAGGUCGCAAGGCCGACUUGCUGCUGUGGUUUCCAAGUAUCGAUAAUAGGUAACUUACCCUGAAUACAUAGGGGUAAAGUGGCGAACGCGGGGAACUGAAACAUCUAAGUACCCGUAGGAAAGGACAUCAACCGAGACUCCGGAAGUAGUGGCGAGCGAACCCGGACCAGGCCAGUGGCGAUUGAGAGACAAGCGGAACCUUCUGGAAAGUAGGGCCAUAGUGGGUGACAGCCCCGUACGCGUAAUGCAAUCAAUCGUCCUCGAGUAAGGCGGGACACGUGAAAUCCUGUCUGAAAUUGGGGGGACCACCCUCCAAGCCUAAGUACUCGUGCAUGACCGAUAGCGAACUAGUACCGUGAGGGAAAGGUGAAAAGCACCCCGACAAGGGGAGUGAAAGAGUACCUGAAACCGAUUGCCUACAAACAGUGGAAGCCCAAGGUUCGUCCUGGGUGACCACGUACCUUUUGUAUAAUGGGUCAGCGACUUAGUGUGACGAGCAAGCUUAAACCGCUAGGUGUAGGCGCAGCGAAAGCGAGUCUGAAUAGGGCGUUCAGUUCGUCGCAUUAGACCCGAAACCGAGUGAUCUAGCCAUGAGCAGGUUGAAGGUAAGGUAACACUUACUGGAGGACCGAACCCAUAACUGUUGCAAUAGUUCGGGAUGACUUGUGGCUAGGGGUGAAAGGCCAAUCAAACUCGGAAAUAGCUGGUUCUCCGCGAAAUCUAUUUAGGUAGAGCGUCGACCGAAUACCCCAGGGGGUAGAGCACUGGAUGGGCUAGGGGUCCUCACCGGAUUACCAAACCUAACCAAACUCCGAAUACCUGGGAGUACUAGUCGGCAGACACACGGCGGGUGCUAACGUCCGUCGUGAAAAGGGAAACAACCCUGACCUACAGCUAAGGUCCCCAAGUUAUGGCUAAGUGGGAAAGGAUGUGAGGAUCCCAAAACAACCAGGAUGUUGGCUUAGAAGCAGCCAUCAUUUAAAGAAAGCGUAACAGCUCACUGGUCUAAAUAAGGGUCUUUGCGCCGAAAAUGUAACGGGGCUAAAGCCAUACACCGAAGCUUAGGGUUUGGUCCGCAAGGGCCAAGCGGUAGCGGAGCGUUCUGUAAGCUGAUGAAGCCAUACCCGUGAGGGGUGGUGGAGGUAUCAGAAGUGCGAAUGCUGACAUGAGUAACGUAAGGGGAGUGAGAGACUCCCCCGCCGAAAGACCAAGGGUUCCUGCUUAAAGCUAAUCUGAGCAGGGUUAGCCGGCCCCUAAGACGAGGCGGAAACGCGUAGUCGAUGGGAACCACGUUAAUAUUCGUGGGCUUGGAGGUAGUGACGGAUCAUUGAGGUAGUCCAAUCUUAUCGGAUUGAACGGGCUGCUGCGUGGUUCCAGGAAAUAGCUCCUCCUUAUAAACCGUACCCGAAACCGACACUGGUGGUCUGGUAGAGUAUACCAAGGCGCUUGAGAGAACUAUGCUGAAGGAACUCGGCAAAUUGCACGCGUAACUUCGGAAGAAGCGUGACCCUUUUCUACGCAAGUAGAGGAGGGUGGCACAGACCAGGGGGUAGCGACUGUUUAUCAAAAACACAGGGCUCUGCGAAGUCGCAAGACGACGUAUAGGGUCUGACGCCUGCCCGGUGCUGGAAGGUUAAGAGGAGGGGUGCAAGCUCUGAAUCGAAGCCCCAGUAAACGGCGGCCGUAACUAUAACGGUCCUAAGGUAGCGAAAUUCCUUGUCGGGUAAGUUCCGACCUGCACGAAUGGCGUAACGACUUCCCCGCUGUCUCCAGCAUAGACUCAGUGAAAUUGAAUUCCCCGUGAAGAUGCGGGGUUCCUGCGGUUAGACGGAAAGACCCCGUGCACCUUUACUAUAGCUUUACAUUGGCAUUCGUAGUGGCAUGUGUAGGAUAGGUGGUAGGCUUUGAAACCUGGGCGCCAGCUCAGGUGGAGCCACCCUUGAAAUACCACCCUUAUUACUAUGGAUGUCUAACCGCGGCCCGUUAUCCGGGUCCGGGACAAUGUAUGGUGGGUAGUUUGACUGGGGCGGUCGCCUCCUAAAGAGUAACGGAGGCGCGCGAUGGUGGGCUCAGAACGGUCGGAAAUCGUUCGCUGAGUGCAAUGGCAUAAGCCUGCCUGACUGCGAGACUGACAAGUCGAGCAGAGACGAAAGUCGGUCAUAGUGAUCCGGUGGUCCCGCGUGGAAGGGCCAUCGCUCAACGGAUAAAAGGUACGCCGGGGAUAACAGGCUGAUGACCCCCAAGAGUCCAUAUCGACGGGGUUGUUUGGCACCUCGAUGUCGACUCAUCGCAUCCUGGGGCUGGAGCAGGUCCCAAGGGUAUGGCUGUUCGCCAUUUAAAGCGGUACGUGAGUUGGGUUCAGAACGUCGUGAGACAGUUCGGUCCCUAUCUGCCGUGGGUGUAGGAAUAUUGAAAGGAUCUGUCCCUAGUACGAGAGGACCGGGAUGGACGGAUCUCUGGUGGACCUGUUGUGGCGCCAGCCGCAUAGCAGGGUAGCUAUAUCCGGACGGGAUAACCGCUGAAGGCAUCUAAGCGGGAAACCCACCUUAAAACGAGUAUUCCCUGAGAACCGUGGAAGACGACCACGUUGAUAGGCCGGGUGUGGAAGAGCGGCAACGCUUGAAGCUUACCGGUACUAAUAGUUCGAUCGGCUUGAUCGUUCUCAUU